GGGGAAUCUUCCGCAAUGGACGAAAGCCUGACGGAGCAACGCCGCGUGAGUGAAGACGGCCUUCGGGUUGUAAAGCUCUGUUAUACGGGACGAAUAAUCUUGUGGUUAAUACCCAUGAGAAGUGACGGUACCGUAAGAGAAAGCCACGGCUAACUACGUGCCAGCAGCCGCGGUAAUACGUAGGUGGCAAGCGUUGUCCGGAAUUAUUGGGCGUAAAGGGCGCGCAGGCGGCUUCUUAAGUCUGUCUUAAAAGUGCGGGGCUUAACCCCGUGAUGGGAUGGAAACUGGGAAGCUCAGAGUAUCGGAGAGGAAAGCGGAAUUCCUAGUGUAGCGGUGAAAUGCGUAGAUAUUAGGAGGAACACCAGUGGCGAAAGCGGCUUUCUGGACGAAAACUGACGCUGAGGCGCGAAAGCCAGGGGAGCGAACGGGAUUAGAUACCCCGGUAGUCCUAGCUGUAAACGAUGAUUACUGGGUGUGGGCAUGAAGAGUGUCCGUGCCGAAGCUAAUGCGAUAAGUAAUCCGCCUGGGGAGUACGGCCGCAAGGUUG
Molecule: ribosomal RNA, 547 nt
Filed under: uncultured bacterium
Lineage: Bacteria
Description: bacterial SSU rRNA
Rfam family: Bacterial small subunit ribosomal RNA
Source: RNAcentral